This 739-nucleotide long non-coding RNA is filed under the name Anas platyrhynchos platyrhynchos (common mallard). RNAcentral describes it as "lncRNA (ENSAPLG00000025621.1)". The record is from RNAcentral. Lineage: Eukaryota; Metazoa; Chordata; Aves; Anseriformes; Anatidae.
GUUUGCAAUGAGUUAAGUAGGAUCAUUGUUUCUGGGGCUGUUCAUAUCCCCAGACUUUUCACAGCCCUGGCAGAGGCUGACUCUGUAAUAAGUCUCACAUUACACAUGGAUUAGAUUUGUAGAAAUCCUGUAACUCAAUAGGUACCUGCCUAUUCUCUCCUGGCGUCAGGCUGCCUGCACUACUUUGCUCUGUAGACAUACCUGGCAUUCCACCCGUGCCUCCUCGCUGGCUAAGUGGGCUGGAGCCUGCCUACCAAAACAUUGGGGUAUUGUUGGGAAGCGGAGACCCCCUUGACAGACGAGCGAAGUGUGAAGGUUAGUCUUGCAAUGCCUUAUUACCUUCCUAUGAAGUAUACAUGCAGCCCUUUUAAACUUCCUUUACACAACUGUAGUGUGGGAAAUCAGAUCUGCAGAAACAUUUGGGAGUAGCAGGGGGUGGAGAUGCACUGUAGACAUGGAUAAAGCCAGUCCGACCCCGAGCCCUUCCGGCUUCCCCCCAGCUGCCACCAUCAUGUUUGUUUACACUAAUGGAGGAAGACAACAAAAACAUAUUUGGCAAUGCAUCAAGAAUGUGAAAUUACUUGAUUUCUGGGAACUUUGCCAGUUCAUCAUCUCAUCCUGGAAGAUAAUGAAGACUCCUAGUGAUCUCAUGAAGAUGUGUAUGAUUCUAACAACCUACUAACAACUUUUAACAUUAAAUGUUAAUAAAGCCUAAAGGUCACAUUAAUAUUAAGAGAUC